GUGACCUGCGGAAGGAUCAUUAUUGAAUAACUUGGUGUUGAGCUGGCCCUAUUGGGCAUGUGCUCGCAUCAUAUUAUUUAUCUAUCUCUUGUGCACCUUUUGUAGUCUUUGAAGUGUUCGCAGUCAAUGCGGUUUUGGGGCUUGGGCAUAUUCUGCCCUUGCCUUGUAUAUGCUUCAAAGGCUAUGUUUUUUAUACACACUAUUCGAAGUUACAGAAUGUCUCUUUAUUGACUCUGUCAGUAAAAYCUAUACAACUUUCAGCAACGGAUCUCUUGGCUCUCCCAUCGAUGAAGAACGCAGCGAAAUGCGAUAAGUAAUGUGAAUUGCAGAAUUCAGUGAAUCAUCGAAUCUUUGAACGCACCUUGCGCCCUUUGGUAUUCCGAAGGGCAUGCCUGUUUGAGUGUCAUUAAAUUCUCAACCUUGCAAGCUUUUUUUUGCUAGCGAGGCUUGGAUGUGAGGGCUUUUGCUGGCUUCCUUCAUUGGAUGGUCUGCUCCCUUUAAAUUCAUUAGUGGGAUCCUUUGUGGAUGGUCACUUGGUGUGAUAAUUAUCUACGCCGCCUGACUCUGAAACAAGACUUGUGGGGACCUGCUCAUAACCGUCUCUUCAAGGGACAAUCUAUAUUGACAA
Molecule: ribosomal RNA, 628 nt
Filed under: Mycena pura
Lineage: Eukaryota; Fungi; Basidiomycota; Agaricomycetes; Agaricales; Mycenaceae
Description: eukaryotic LSU rRNA
Rfam family: 5.8S ribosomal RNA (bases 253-406)
Source: RNAcentral